This 72-nucleotide transfer RNA is filed under the name Bacteroidota bacterium. Its description in RNAcentral is "Bacteroidetes bacterium tRNA-Thr". It matches the Rfam family "tRNA". From Rfam's summary of the family: Transfer RNA (tRNA) molecules are approximately 80 nucleotides in length. Their secondary structure includes four short double-helical elements and three loops (D, anti-codon, and T loops). Further hydrogen bonds mediate the characteristic L-shaped molecular structure. tRNAs have two regions of fundamental functional importance: the anti-codon, which is responsible for specific mRNA codon recognition, and the 3' end, to which the tRNAs corresponding amino acid is attached (by aminoacyl-tRNA synthetases). tRNAs cope with the degeneracy of the genetic code in two manners: having more than one tRNA (with a specific anti-codon) for a particular amino acid; and 'wobble' base-pairing, i.e. permitting non-standard base-pairing at the 3rd anti-codon position. The record is from RNAcentral. Lineage: Bacteria; Pseudomonadati; Bacteroidota. RNAcentral also lists the same sequence under 3 other names.
GCCAGUGUAGCUCAGGGGUAGAGCAACGGUUUUGUAAACCGUCGGUCGUCGGUUCGAAUCCGGCCACUGGCU